Molecule: long non-coding RNA, 668 nt
Organism: Fukomys damarensis (Damara mole-rat)
Lineage: Eukaryota; Metazoa; Chordata; Mammalia; Rodentia; Bathyergidae
Exons: 3
Source: RefSeq, a predicted model, not a curated record
UCUUUGUGAUGGAAAAACAGGUCAGCAGAGGACAAAGCAGGGGCGCAGGCAGAAGAGGAGGGAGACAGAGCCCAGGGAGCCCUGUGUGACCCCUUGCAUCUAGCCAUGCCCAACACAGCCCUACCUUUCACCAUUACUUAGGCCAGUAAGUGCCCCCUUUUUUCAUUAACGUGUUCCCGCUGGAGCCACAGGCAAUACACGGGUGACUGUCCCAUCGCAUGGCUGUACAGCUGGUGGUGAAGUGGCACAGCCGUGCAUCUCAUGGGUGCUGUAUCCUGAUUCCAGUGCCACCACCCUCACGGAGAAGCCAUGGGGAAUGAUCUCUGCACAGGACAGGAAAGCCUUUUGAUCAAACAAGCCAUUCCCAGGCCAUUAGCAGAACUUCAACAGAAGGCUGGGCUUCAGCUCCGUUUUGGAAAGAGACACAGCUGCAGAGGGACAGAAAGGCUCCCUGAUUUGGGAACGAAGUCUGCAGAACUGUCCCAACUCUACCCAAGGCCCUGGGACCUGGGGGCAAUAGCCCCCUGCCUCUGGACCCAGCCACUUCUUUGUCUGGGAAGGAGAACCAAGUGGAAAUGCGGGGAACCACAGGGUGUCACAGGAUGUCCUGCUGUCUGUCUGACCACACAAUGGCAGCAUGAAUGCUGGGAAAAAUCUUGGCAAAUAAU